Non-coding RNA from Salvia hispanica, 362 nucleotides. The record is from RefSeq and is a predicted model, not a curated record. Lineage: Eukaryota; Viridiplantae; Streptophyta; Magnoliopsida; Lamiales; Lamiaceae.
GAGAGGCAGAAAGUGAAAGUCCGAAGAUGAAGAGGAUCAAGGUUUGAAAGGGAAGAGUCAUGGGCUCGAUUAGAUUAUAUAGCUUAAUUAAGUGUGUAUAUAUCAUAUUUUUAAUUUUACAAGUGCUAUAAUUUUACAAGUGCUAUGUGAUAAAUUGUUGGGAUUGGUUUAUAUAGUGGAAUAUGAGAUGAAUAUAUGAUUCGUGUAAGAGAUAUGCAUUUAUAUAUCGUAUUGGAAUUAUUUGAUAGAAUAUAAUAUGGAUAUGCAGAUGAUAGAAUUGAUACAUUUUACAUAUGGUAUUGAAAGUACAUGAAUCAUAUGAUUAAAGAGGAUCUGUGACGGUCUUGUCCUGAAUCUGAAAA